RNAcentral lists this transfer RNA (70 nucleotides) under Takydromus septentrionalis. RNAcentral describes it as "tRNA-Glu". It matches the Rfam family "tRNA". Rfam says of the family: Transfer RNA (tRNA) molecules are approximately 80 nucleotides in length. The record is from RNAcentral. Lineage: Eukaryota; Metazoa; Chordata; Lepidosauria; Squamata; Lacertidae.
GUUUUAAUAGUUGAAGUACAACGGUGGUUUUUCAAGUCGCAGGUUUUGGUUAAAUGUCCAAGUUAAAAUA